Molecule: ribosomal RNA, 427 nt
Filed under: uncultured Acidobacteriota bacterium
Lineage: Bacteria; Pseudomonadati; Acidobacteriota
Description: bacterial SSU rRNA
Rfam family: Bacterial small subunit ribosomal RNA
Source: RNAcentral
AACGCGAAGAACCUUACCUGGGCUUGAACCGCUACUGACCAAGGGUAGAAAUAUCCUCUUCCCGCAAGGGACAGUAGUAGAGGUGCUGCAUGGCUGUCGUCAGCUCGUGCCGUGAGGUGUUGGGUUAAGUCCCGCAACGAGCGCAACCCUUACUCGUAGUUGCUACCCGCAAGGGAGAACUCUACGAGGACUGCUCCGGAUAACGGAGAGGAAGGUGGGGAUGACGUCAAGUCAGCACGGCCUUUAUGUCCAGGGCUACACACGUGUUACAAUGCAUGGUACAGACUGUUGCGAACCCGCGAGGGGGAGCUAAUCGGACAAAGCCAUGCUCAGUUCGGAUUGCAGUCUGCAACUCGGCUGCAUGAAGCUGGAAUCGCUAGUAAUGGCGUAUCAGAUCGACGCCGUGAAUACGUUCCCGGGCCUUGUA